UUUUUCUUAUUUUUUCCUUCUAUUCUUAUCCAGCCACCACUCAAGAUCCUCUCAGCCUUAUCCCAAACCGCCUCCUCUCUGUUGAUUCCGUGGAGCACCAGCCAAGCUCCUCCCCUGCGGCUCGCCUCCCUCACGGCGCCGCCUGCUCCCCAUUGCCGACCUCCACUCGAGCACCUGAGCAAGCGCUCCUGAGGUCAUCUUCCCCAUCUUCCUCUAGUGCCGGCCGCCAGGUCGUCUUCCCCAUCCCUCCCAUGGCGCCCUCACCUCUGCUCCUCCCAGCGCCCUGGCUCUGUUCAACCUUCACAGUGAGCUCGCCCUCAGCCAUGGCGGAUGAUGCCUCCACCUCCCCCUUGGUGCUCGCCGAGCUCGCCCUCAGCCCUGCCGCGCCCCUGCUUUCUGUUCCCAGUGCGCCCUCUGUUCUGUUCCAACCGUUCUCCACGCCGUGUUCCCCCAUGGCUCCCCUUGCCUCUCCGGUCAGCACUAGCCCGAACGGUACAGCAGCAUACUGGUGCCAAACCCGUGUCCGCGACGCUCGCCAAGUGCUCGAUGAAAUACCGCAGUGAGCUCCACCUCGACCUGUGCAGCCCCAACCCGCGACGUCGCAACACCCUUGGACUCGCUCUUAAAAGAGGACUUGCCAUUAUAUGUCCUACUCAGUUAGGGAGGAAAAGAAGGGGAAUGCUGGGGCCAACUGCCAAGCUAGUUAUGCACUUGUAUCUAAUAUAUUGAUUUGAAUAUGAUGACCUCUGUAUUGUCAGUUUCUGAAUUUUUGCAACACAGGUCAUGCAUUUUGCCUGUAGUCAAGGAUGGUGAAGGUCCAAUCAUGUGCAUAUCAUUGGUUUCCUCUUGUUAUGAUGAAGAGAUCUGGAUUCAAUACUUGAUUUUUCAUUUGUUUUAAAAUAUUUGUUAAUUGUUAUGGUGUAUGUCAAUGGAAUUUGGGCAUUGGUUGCUUUGACUGUUUCUUGGAAUGCAGAUAAACUACGCCUAUGCUCGUGACAAUGAAACACUAUUUGAUAUUAUUAGUGUGAAGGAGAUGGUCCCAGUUACCUUACAUGGUUCUGUUGGACACAAUGAAGCCAUCCAGAUAUGCUAUUAAAAAUCCUGCUAGUCAUUAUGGCUUUAAACUGUACCACGUAUGUUCUAUUUUCAGCUAAGCAGAGCAUGUUCUAUUUACAGCAGGCCAGCAGACACCAGGCAGUAAGGUGAUGUAUGAGUCAAUUAUCAGAACCUUUUUGGACACCCAAAUGUCGAAAGAUGCCCAUUCCUGAGGAAUAUCAAUGGAGCUACAACCUUUUCCCCUCACUUCUGCUUUGCCAGUAGCUGCUCAAAGAGGCAAGGGUCCAAUUUUUGAGGAAGGGUCAGGCUUUGAGUCAGCAUUCAAGCUUUUCUAUGGCCGAGAUGGAAUAGUUCCCCUUUGAGAAAGAUCAUAUGUAUCUGAUGAAAACCACAAUUUAGAGUACACUUAUGUAUGAGUUAUUUGACAAUGCUUAUUUAUGAGAUAUUGAAUGUUAUUUAUCUAUAUUAUAUUAAUUAUAGU
This 1537-nucleotide unclassified non-coding RNA is filed under the name Zea mays. RNAcentral describes it as "misc RNA Zm00001eb403840". The record is from RNAcentral. Lineage: Eukaryota; Viridiplantae; Streptophyta; Magnoliopsida; Poales; Poaceae.